AGAGUUUGAUUCUGGCUCAGGAUGAACGCUGGCGGCGUGCCUAAUACAUGCAAGUCGAACGCUUCACAUAUGUGAAGAGUGGCGAACGGGUGAGUAAUACAUAAGUAACCUGGCCUUUACAGGGGGAUAACUAUUGGAAACGAUAGCUAAGACCGCAUAGGUGUCAUAACCGCAUGGAGAUGAUAUGAAAUAUGCUACGGCAUAGGUAGAGGAUGGACUUAUGGCGCAUUAGCUAGUUGGAGGGGUAACGGCCCACCAAGGCGACGAUGCGUAGCCGACCUGAGAGGGUGACCGGCCACACUGGGACUGAGACACGGCCCAG
Molecule: ribosomal RNA, 322 nt
Filed under: uncultured bacterium
Lineage: Bacteria
Description: bacterial SSU rRNA
Rfam family: Bacterial small subunit ribosomal RNA
Source: RNAcentral